Molecule: transfer RNA, 66 nt
Filed under: Schistocephalus solidus
Lineage: Eukaryota; Metazoa; Platyhelminthes; Cestoda; Diphyllobothriidea; Diphyllobothriidae
Rfam family: tRNA
About the family: Transfer RNA (tRNA) molecules are approximately 80 nucleotides in length.
Source: Rfam by way of RNAcentral
GAACUCAUGGCUCAAUGGUUAGAGCAUUGGACUUCUGAUCAAUGGGUUUGAUUCUCAAUAGGUUUA